RNAcentral lists this ribosomal RNA (278 nucleotides) under uncultured eukaryote. RNAcentral describes it as "partial small subunit ribosomal RNA". It matches the Rfam family "Eukaryotic small subunit ribosomal RNA", at positions 587 to 870 of the family's 1831-position model. The record is from RNAcentral.
AGCUCCAAUAGCGUAUAUUAAAGUUGUUGCGGUUAAAAGCUCGUAGUUGGAUUUCUGCCGAGGACGACCGGUCCGCUUUCUGGGUGAGUAUCUGGCUCUUCCUUGGCAUCUUCUUGGAGAACACUACUGCACUUAACUGUGUGGUGUGGUAACCAGGACUUUUACUUUGAGGAAAUUAGAGUGUUUCAAGCAGGCGUGCGCCUUGAAUACAUUAGCAUGGAAUAAUAAGAUAGGACCUUAGUUCUAUUUUGUUGGUUUCUAGAGCUGGGGUAAUGAUU